UGGGUUGCUCAAUCAGUUCCUGUGGCUGGCACGUUUUCCACCACGAGGUCUACGAAGAAAGAAGCAGUAACGAGCGGGGCAAUGCGUGCCCUGGACACGCUGGACCACGGAUUUAAUUCCGUUCUCGCGUCAGAAAGCUUAAAUUAAGAUGUCUGAUACCUCGAGGCUGUACUUACAUCCCAAAAAAGGUCUGGUCCCAUAUAACCAGUAUUUAGUGUAAAAAGAAUUCAUAAAAAUCACUAGCUUUCACCGUCGUUACGCGAGAAUCUCCUCUGAAAGUAGCUAAAGUCACGCGACAUCUGUAAAUAUCAUGUAAAUAAUAGGUACUAACAAAUAUGAGAUUAUAAAACAACACUUUCUUUCGCUUUUUACUUCCUUAUUCUAGCAUUUAUCGAUCCAACUGCGAAAUCACGAAAAUCCCUAGACUAAACGGCUGUUCUCCAUGUACUUCUUACGAUCGAGCGAUUUUUUCGAAUUCCUAGUAACAGUUUCAUCCUCGCAGAGGAGUUGCACGAAGCAGCAGGAAUAAUUGGUCCAUCGACGUUUCGAAGAUUACAGAUUGCACGCUGUGGAUCGUCAGGAAAGGCACGCCGUCCGUCCUUUCGAGUGUUUUGUUACGAUUCGGUUCGUUGGCUAGAACGCAGGAAAUAUCGAUCUCUUUCUACGUUUCCUUGACCGUGGCUUCGACCAAAGAGAUCCCACGGAAGAGCCAUGAUUUAUUCCCGCUAGGGGGAGCUCUGGGAUCGCUGGUUUUGCUGCGUUGUAUCGCGAAAUAGUCAGGAAGAAGUUAAAAGAAACGUAUCCUGCCGGUGAUUGACAAACUUUCUUCUUUUUAUGGGACAAAUGACAUGGUCGAUCACCGGAAAUUAUUAUUUCCAUUUGUUUCGACGAACAUGUUAUUAGGACAUGACGAUCGGAUUCAAUCCCCUAUGAUAAUUGAAAGGCUUAAACCUAAUGAGGAUUCUCAUUGACAAAUGAUCGAAGAAAUGUAAUUUAAAAAAUUAGAAAAUUGCGUAUCUCUUACAUGUUUGUUGAACUUUUGGUGAAUUCGUACAGGUGGCGUUAGCCUAACUUGUUUCUGCUCAAAUCUGACCUUAAAUAAUACCUAUGGAAUAGUUAGGAUUCACACAAUUGGUCAGGUGUCUAUUGCUUGAUAAAUGUUGAGAAAGGUAUCUGUUGUUGUUAAUAACUAAUAAUUGGUGUUAUCAGAAGGAGCUAUCAGAAGUAAGAUUCAGAGGAAAUUGUGUUACAGAGCAACAGUUAUGCAAUGUCGUACUAUUGACUGUACAGAAAUCCCACGGAAAUGGGCAAUGGAUGUAGUGGGCUAUUUAUUUGUAGGGAUCCAAAAUCCACCUUCCUAGUUUUAUUAUUAAAAGGUAAUACAAAAUUGAAUGCACACAAUGACCUAAAUAGGCAGUCCCUAACUUGGAAUUAUAUCAAGUUCCCUAAUUUGCAAAUUACAUCAAUGAUGGUCAGACUACACAUUUGGUCAGGAGUCUAGCAACAUUGACCAGAAGAAGAUACUAACUAGCAAAAUGAUUUGGUUCUGUCACCUCCUCUGCACAGUACAACUGUAAAUACUCUACAUAAAUAUUUAAAAGAACGAUGAAAAAUAUUCCUACACUGAUUGAAUAAGAUUUGAUAGAUUGCAGGUCUUUCAUGUCCUCAAAUUAUUGCUAAGACCACUGUAUGUCCUCAACCAUGUCUAAAACCGUUGCAGUUAUACGUUUCAAUAAAAAAUCUCGUUCAGUCCAGGACAAUGACCGUCCAUUCUCUUGAUCCUGACAAGGGACACAUUGACAAAAUGGUCACGCACACCCAUUGGACAAUGCAACACGCGUUCGACAAGCAGUCUGUCUCGCAGUCCAAUGCACACGUAAUGAAAAUCCUUAAUGAGGACCUCAAAGAUCCCGGUGCAAUGUCGACCGUGCUUUCUGCGCACAAUGCAUGCACUCAUUACCAUUAAUUCGUGUUCUCGCCCUCUUGCAACUCGACAGCAGCCUCUCAUGGUUACGUAAAACGAAACACUAUACCCUGGACUGUGUGUAUACCUUCAUGAUCACUUAUGCUGAAAUGACAUAAUUCUCUUGGAGAGACAGGAUGCCAUUACAGUCGUGCCAUUUAUUGAAAGACAAAAUGGCUUUGGAAUGGCUUCAAAGAAGAAACUGUAUAAUUCUGUUAUUAAGACGGUCGUGCAUUUUUAAAAUUAUGUUCACGCGCAAAGUUCCACUGCAACGUUCGAUGCUUAAGAAACAAGCGAUUUACUUGUUCUUAAUAAAAAGAUGAAGCAAAAGCAGUUCCAGAGUUCAUAAACUUCCUAGUAAUUAAAUCCCCUUUUAAACUAUGAAAUCCUAUUGUUUGAAACCUUAAAUCCUAUUUUGGAGAAGUAUCGGUGAAAUCCUGCUGUACAAAU
This is a long non-coding RNA of Bombus huntii, 2413 nucleotides long. RefSeq lists it as uncharacterized. The record is from RefSeq and is a predicted model, not a curated record. Lineage: Eukaryota; Metazoa; Arthropoda; Insecta; Hymenoptera; Apidae. The transcript is spliced from 3 exons.